This 278-nucleotide ribosomal RNA is filed under the name uncultured bacterium. Its description in RNAcentral is "partial 16S ribosomal RNA". It matches the Rfam family "Bacterial small subunit ribosomal RNA", at positions 29 to 334 of the family's 1533-position model. The record is from RNAcentral.
AACGAACGCUGGCGGCAUGCCUAACACAUGCAAGCCGAACGAGACCUUCGGGUCUAGUGGCGCACGGGUGCGUAACGCGUGGGAAUCUGCCCUUGGGUUCGGAAUAACUCGCCGAAAGGCGUGCUAAUACCGGAUGAUGUCGUAAGACCAAAGAUUUAUCGCCCAGGGAUGAGCCCGCGUAAGAUUAGGUAGUUGGUGAGGUAAAGGCUCACCAAGCCGACGAUCUUUAGCUGGUCUGAGAGGAUGAUCAGCCACACUGGGACUGAGACACGGCCCAG